GACAUAGGGUGCAAACGUUGUUCGGAAUUACUGGGCGUAAAGCGCGUGUAGGCGGCCCUGCAAGUCGGAUGUGAAAUCCCACGGCUCAACCGUGGAAGUGCAUUCGAAACUGCAGGGCUAGAGUCCUGGAGAGGAAGGUGGAAUGCUUGGUGUAGAGGUGAAAUUCGUAGAUAUCGAGAGGAACACCGGUGGCGAAGGCGGCCAACUGGACGAACACUGACGCUGAGACACGAAAGCGUGGGGAGCAAACAGG
This 253-nucleotide ribosomal RNA is filed under the name uncultured bacterium. Its description in RNAcentral is "partial 16S ribosomal RNA". It matches the Rfam family "Bacterial small subunit ribosomal RNA", at positions 524 to 776 of the family's 1533-position model. The record is from RNAcentral.